Non-coding RNA from Gasterosteus aculeatus (three-spined stickleback), 46 nucleotides. NCBI's taxonomy places the organism in Eukaryota, Metazoa, Chordata, Actinopteri, Perciformes, Gasterosteidae. The record is from Rfam.
UAAAAGGCUCUUUUAAGAGCUACCCAAUCCAUCUUGAAGAGAUUUU